RNAcentral lists this long non-coding RNA (804 nucleotides) under Nicotiana benthamiana. RNAcentral describes it as "long non-coding RNA (NBEN_LNC037874)". The record is from RNAcentral. Lineage: Eukaryota; Viridiplantae; Streptophyta; Magnoliopsida; Solanales; Solanaceae.
GAUAACCCACAAAAACAGACGCUGGGGGAAGAAAUAAAAAUCUGAGUGCCGCAUUUCAAAAGGAACGGACCUCCCCACCCCCUGUUCUCUUUCUUCUUCAAGAGCCAUUUUCAUGGCUGGUUCUUGAGCAACCAAAAAAAACUCCAUCAGCAGCUACCCUAACCUCAAAAAUCCCAGCGUCUAACGAAACACACACAAAAGAUAGGUAUAGGAACGGACAGAAGCAACUGAGAUCGAAAUUUGGCCAUUCGAAAACUUCAAUUUAGAUCUGUUCCCAAAAGUUGUCGAUAUCAAAAAUUUGUUGCUGUUGACUGUUGAACACGUUGUUAAGUUUAGUUCGAUCUGGUUUCAGUUAUUGUUGAAGAGUCGAGUUUGUUUUUCGUUGAGGUUCCGACUGUCGUUCCUUGCCAUCGCAAUUUUAUGACCAAACAAAAAUUGUAGAGGUUGAGAUUCUCGUAACAGGCGACACUUUGUUUGAUGUUCCUUUUAUCUCUUUUCUUUAAUUAAUUCAAGAAUCUUAGGUAGUCUACUUUAGUGCUUUUGGUUUGAAUGAAUUUGUGUUCGUGAAAUUGGCAUACUAGUAUCUUGGAUUCUGUUUGUUUUAGGGUAUUUGUUUUAGAUCUUUAAAAAAUGGGAAUUGCGACAUACUGUUCAUAUCAUUUCUUUUAAGAUCUCUUGAAUUCCUUUUUGUAAUGAUAGUAUUAUGUUGCAUGUGAGAUGAACGUGAUAAUGGAAGAAAUGAAAAAUGCAAUUCUCCAAAAAAUGAAUGUUGGAUGUUUGUUUGGGUUGAUAAAUAUUGAGAAG